AUUGAACGCUGGCGGCAUGCCUUACACAUGCAAGUCGAACGGUAACAGGUCUUCGGAUGCUGACGAGUGGCGAACGGGUGAGUAAUACAUCGGAACGUGCCCAGACGUGGGGGAUAACGAGGCGAAAGCUUUGCUAAUACCGCAUACGAUCUAAGGAUGAAAGCAGGGGACCGCAAGGCCUUGCGCGUUUGGAGCGGCCGAUGGCAGAUUAGGUAGUUGGUGGGAUAAAAGCUUACCAAGCCGACGAUCUGUAGCUGGUCUGAGGGGACGACCAGCCACACUGGGACUGAGACACGGCCCAGACUCCUACGGGAGGCAGCAGUGGGGAAUUUUGGACAAUGGGCGAAAGCCUGAUCCAGCAAUGCCGCGUGCAGGAUGAAGGCCUUCGGGUUGUAAACUGCUUUUGUACGGAACGAAAAGGCUCUGGCUAAUACCUGGGGCACAUGACGGUACCGUAAGAAUAAGCACCGGCUAACUACGUG
This 482-nucleotide ribosomal RNA is filed under the name uncultured bacterium. RNAcentral's name for it is "partial 16S ribosomal RNA". It matches the Rfam family "Bacterial small subunit ribosomal RNA", at positions 30 to 507 of the family's 1533-position model. The record is from RNAcentral.